Non-coding RNA from Saccharopolyspora rectivirgula, 91 nucleotides. The record is from Rfam. NCBI's taxonomy places the organism in Bacteria, Bacillati, Actinomycetota, Actinomycetes, Pseudonocardiales, Pseudonocardiaceae.
UGAAGCUGCGCGGGAGAGACCCCGCCUCGAGCGGGGCGCCGAAGGAGCAAACUCCCCACAAACUCUCAGGCACCAGUACCGCGCAGUCAGG